CAUAUAUAUAUAUUUUUUUUUUAAUCCAUAUAUUCAUCCAUCUAUAUAUGCAAAUAUUUAAAAAUGUAAAUAAUAUCAGCAUCCGCAUCAAUACAAAUGACUGAAAUCUGAUUGGAUUAUUCUGCUCUAUUAUAAUGAACAAAGAUUUUUUAAAAUAUCUGUCACAUUUCUGAUGUUCAACUCUAACCUCAACAUUAAAAAUAGCAUCCAUCUAAAAAAAAAAAAUAUGCUGAAAUGAGAUUUAAUGACACCUUUGUAGCUGAAGUCAUUAAUACGAACUGUGUGCUGCGUGAGAAUCAUUUCAUCAUGUAUUUAACUCUUUAUGACAAGAAAGGGUUAUCAUUACAACUUCCAGGACUCUUAACGAGGAGGACCAUCUAUUCGUCUUGUUUGUAAUAAAAGACAAAUAAAAGCUCAACACAGAUGCAAACAUAUAGGAACAAAUUUUAUUCCAAUUUAAAAUGGAUAUUUUUUUUUCUUUAAAGGAGAAGGCUAUGAAAGUCAUUUUCAUGUAUGAAUGAGGUUCAGGCAAAAGUGGUUGAAAUGAAACAUACAAAAAGAGAAAUAUGUCUAAAAUACUGUAAAUGAACAAUAAUUAAGCCCCUUGUCAGCAGGGUUUCGCGUUAAUACGGUUUUUCCUUUACCCGACCCUCUCCGGCGAAAACAAACACAUGCAAUUAAAAUGUCAUUUCUUUUAAAAACAGCAGUUUGUCAUCUUUAAUCUUAAAUACAGAAUAAAACUGUCCUUUUCCUGUUGCGCGUUUACCAUAAUCACAUACUUAAUGUUUAUUUGUUUUUAAAAACCGGACCAUAAAACACACAAGUCCUUUUUUAAAUGAUUUCCACAACAUUGGCACUUGUAAAGAGUCUGGCUCUACAAAUCAAAGGGAUUGGCACACUCAAUAUAGUACAUCAUUUACAUUUGGUAUGCUUUAAAAAAAAGAAGAAGAAGAAAAAAAAAGAGCAACCAACCGAACAAGAAAUACAUUACAAAGUAAUACAAUACUUUGAUUUUAUACACCACUACACAAAUGUUUAUUUUAGCUGUUUUAUCAAAAACAAAUGUAUUAUAUUAAAGUGUCCUACAUACAAGUGUUCAGGUAAUGCAUCAACAUCAGAAAAAAAAAUAAAGAAAGAUAGCUUCAUAUUGUACGCAUCCAUCACAUCAGCGUGGACCCCAAGCGAAAGCGUCAUUUCUAUUCAUUAGUGUCUGCAUCUCUCAAGAGUACCAGGAACAAGUUUGGAGGAACAGAUAAGUCACAUGAGUGGAGUUCGUUCCAUUACUGCAGAGUAGGUUCAGUGCUUUAACCCAGGGAGGAAAAACAUAUCAAUCUUAUUCACAAAAAAAAAAAAAAAAAACCUUAAACACCAGCUAAACAGGAUAUCAAAGCUACUUAUACCAUCUGCACAACAUAUUCUGAUGUUUUGUGGACUUAACUGGUACGAAAUGACUAGCUGUAGUGUUUCUGUUUCUGAUAAAGAACCGUGUUUCUCAGAUUAGGCCUAGCCCUUCGAAAUGAAAGCCGUAUGUACAAAAGCUUUAAAUGUUCACAUGUUCAAAAAUGUUGUCGUAAAUUUGCAGGUCCACUACUUGUACAACAACGAAACAGUUUGAAAUUGGCAUAUGAUGACUGAUAGUUCCAUCCCACCCAAGUGAAGAGUUUAAAAUGUAUGAAGUGUGAAGCCCCGCCCAGAAGAAUGACGGUAUGCAAAUCUGGAAGUUUGAAAAACUAUAAACAAAAAAAAAAAAAAAAGCAGCUAAACUGGCCUGGCACUGGAGGACUGUUUAGUUAAAGAAAAAAAAAUAGAAAAAAUGCGCAAUUUGGCAAACAAUUCGUAAAAUGCACUAAAAGGUCCAAAUGUUUAUGUAAAGAAGGCUUAUAGGAAAAUUGCGUAUACACCUUCAAAACUACACUUCCAUAGUAAUUCAUCACAAAAAAAAAGAAUCCUCCUACAAUACAUUCAAUUACUAGUUAAAAAAAAUAAUAAUAAUAAUCGCGGCAAUAAGUGACUAUUGUGAUUCAAAUAUUUUGCUAAAUCAUUACGUUAGCUCUCGUGAUUUUUUUUUUUUUUUUUUUCACAAAUUCAGCUUUUCGCAAGUUAUGUUGUUUCAAUAAUAUACGAACAAAGCCAAUAAGACUGUAUGAGUGCUAAUGUGCGAUAAAUUCAUAGCCAGUCGGCUGAAAAAAAGGUGUACGAUAAAUGAGUAAACAGGACUCAAAAGCAACACCGUCACAGCCCCCGAAAACCAAACAUGGCAAAGGGAAACGUGUGACAUCACCGCCACCGAAUACUUCAUUCCUAAACUUACAAAAUCAAAACAGCCCAUUCGAAGUUGUUUGAUUUGCGGCAAGAAAUAGCAUACAUUCUCCGAAGAUCUCCGAAGGUGCUCCCUGGAUGCACUGCAAGCUGAACCUUUAAUCCUGGGGAUUCAGAUACCCACUUCGGCGUACCUAUUGCUCUAUCGUCUUCAUAGAGUCCUUUCAUUCUCUGCCCACAAUUAGCCCUUGUAAUGAAAAGUAUGAAAACUCACCUGAAUUACAUCAUAAAGACCCCCCCUCCCCCCAAAAAAGCCAGCUAGCUAUGGAAUCCAAAAAAGCUAAAUCAAGCGAGAACUAAGAUAUGGUACGACGAAACCGAGAGCGAACUCUCAAAAAACAACGCAAGCAGAGGCCAGUUAAGAAUCCAACCACCAAUAAAAUUCUUAAUUUCCUAUUUGCA
Long non-coding RNA from Cyprinus carpio (common carp), 2721 nucleotides. Lineage: Eukaryota; Metazoa; Chordata; Actinopteri; Cypriniformes; Cyprinidae. The record is from Ensembl.